AUUGAACGCUGGCGGCAUGCUUUACACAUGCAAGUCGAACGGUAACAGGCCUUCGGGUGCUGACGAGUGGCGAACGGGUGCGUAAUGCAUCGGAACGUACCCAGAGGUGGGGGAUAACGCAGCGAAAGCUGUGCUAAUACCGCAUGUGAUCUGAGGAUGAAAGCGGGGGACCGAGCAGCAAUGUUUGGCCUCGCGCCUUUGGAGCGGCCGAUGUCGGAUUAGCUAGUUGGUGGGGUAAAGGCCUACCAAGGCGACGAUCCGUAGCUGGUCUGAGAGGACGACCAGCCACACUGGGACUGAGACACGGCCCAGACUCCUACGGGAGGCAGCAGUGGGGAAUUUUGGACAAUGGGCGCAAGCCUGAUCCAGCAAUGCCGCGUGCGGGAGGAAGGCCUUCGGGUUGUAAACCGCUUUUGGCAGGAACGAAACGGUGUCCGCUAAUACCGGGCGCUAAUGACGGUACCUGCAGAAUAAGCACCGGCUAACUACGUG
RNAcentral lists this ribosomal RNA (492 nucleotides) under uncultured bacterium. RNAcentral describes it as "partial 16S ribosomal RNA". It matches the Rfam family "Bacterial small subunit ribosomal RNA", at positions 29 to 507 of the family's 1533-position model. The record is from RNAcentral.